GUGCCAGCCGCCGCGGUAACACGUAGGGGGCAAGCGUUGUCCGGAUUUAUUGGGCGUAAAGAGCUCGUAGGCGGUUCGAUAAGUCGGGUGUGAAAACUCUGGGCUCAACUCAGAGACGCCACCCGAUACUGUCGUGACUCGAGUCCGGUAGGGGAGUAUGGAAUUUCCGGUGUAGCGGUGAAAUGCGCAGAUAUCAGAAGGAACACCAGUAGCGAAGGCGGUACUCUGGGCCGGAACUGACGCUGAGGAGCGAAAGCGUGGGGAGCGAACAGGAUUAGAAACCCCCGUAGUCC
This 293-nucleotide ribosomal RNA is filed under the name uncultured bacterium. Its description in RNAcentral is "partial 16S ribosomal RNA". It matches the Rfam family "Bacterial small subunit ribosomal RNA", at positions 505 to 796 of the family's 1533-position model. The record is from RNAcentral.